AGCGAAUACAGAUGAAAGUCCUCUGUGUGCUUAGCAGUACUAAGUCAAUGUUUGACUUUAAUUAUUUUGCUCUAUGUUUGAGGGAAAAGGAGAGUGUGCAGUAAGAUUUAAAAAUAGUUCUCUCUGCAGUUGAAGAAAAUGAGUUUGAGAAAGGGAUGACUUUAGGUUUGUUAAAGAAUUUACUGAGGUGAACUUAUAGAGAUAUAAGAUUGGUGGUGAGAGGGUGGGGGAGAGGGGAGAUGAGGGAGAGAGAUAGAAAGGGAUAGGGAAGUUAAUUGUGAACUUAGAUUCUAGGACCACUGGAUUCCAUCCCCAGCACCUCAUAAGAUAGGCAUGGUGGCACACAACUGCAAUCCAAGAACGGGAGAGGUAGACUCAGGAAGGGCAGAAGUUCAAGGUCAUCCUCAGCUGCACAGUGAGUUCAAGACCAGCUCCUGUAGGUCAGGUCAACUGUUUCUGCGGGUGUCUGAAGCACCGUCUUGGCUCCAUUGCUCAUCCCUCCUCCCUCUCCACAACUGGAUUCCAGAAGUAUGGUUCAGUGCUUAGCUGUGGGUGCCUGUUUCUACUUUGACCAGCUACUAAAUGAAGGCUCUAGGAGUGGUAAUCAAGAGUUUGCUGUUUCCUGUAAGCAAUGUGGGUGUUCGCAUUGCUCUCCUUGCCCCCACCUAAAAUGGACUAUAUUCAGGAAAACAUGGAAGUCAGAAAACCACAUCUUCAAUGUGGGGGAAGCAAGCUGCUCCCAAUUACUCCAGUACUCAGUGGACAAGCCUGUGAGUGUAAGGGCAGCAUCAAGAGCUGCUGUCUUCUGGCAUCCUAAGUUGUGGACAUCCCUGUGGACUCUAAGGGAGCCCUAAAGAACUGAACAGAGAAAGAUGCAGGCCAAACACUCUGCAGGUCUCAUAUUAUGGGCUGGCAGGCCAUUGAAUUAUUAAAACAUCCUAUGAUUGUCACCAAUCUUUGCUUAUUCUUGAAACUUGUUAUUGCUUGCCAACAAACAGUUCUCACAGUAUCCUGAAGUCCCUAGUCACCAUGUGACAUGUAUCAGUGUCAUUCAGAGGCAAGUGGGGAGGGAGGAGAGAGUGGGAGGGAAGGAAGGAGGGAAAGAAGGAGGGAGGCAGGAAGGGAGGGAAGGAGAGAGAGGGAAAACUUGAGUUACAAUGAUGGUUAGUUUUAACCUUCAACUUGAGGCAAUCUGAGGUCACUUGGGAAGAGAGUUUCAACAAGCAAUUGUCUACAUUGGGUUGGCCUGUGGUUUGUGGUGGGUUAUCUUAAUUGAGGUGGGCAGGCCUGCCCAUUGUGGGUCCCGGGAUGUAAAAAUGUAGAGGAAGUGAGCUGAGUACUAAGCCUGAAUGCCCUCAUUCUCUCUCUGUCACUGAGGGUGUGGGUGUGACCAGCUCCUGCCACUGUGACUUGCCCCCAGUAGUAGACUGUAAGUAACCUGGAGUUGUGAGCGAAAAUAAACUUCCAUCUCUCUUAAGUUGAGCUCUACCUUGGCAUUUUAUCAC
This 1505-nucleotide long non-coding RNA is filed under the name Cricetulus griseus (Chinese hamster). Its description in RNAcentral is "lncRNA (ENSCGRG00015036563.1)". The record is from RNAcentral. Lineage: Eukaryota; Metazoa; Chordata; Mammalia; Rodentia; Cricetidae.